GCGGAAGUAGUUCAGUGGUAGAACACCACCUUGCCAAGGUGGGGGUCGCGGGUUCGAAUCCCGUCUUCCGCUCCAAC
Molecule: transfer RNA, 77 nt
Filed under: Bacillus subtilis
Lineage: Bacteria; Bacillati; Bacillota; Bacilli; Caryophanales; Bacillaceae
Also listed under: 1 other name
Description: tRNA_Gly_GCC
Rfam family: tRNA
About the family: Transfer RNA (tRNA) molecules are approximately 80 nucleotides in length. Their secondary structure includes four short double-helical elements and three loops (D, anti-codon, and T loops).
Source: RNAcentral